GAGGAGCAGCUUAAGGUUACUGUUGCAAAGGGGACUCGAAAUAACUCGCCAGGACUAUACUUUUAUUAAUACCUGCCUUUGAGUGACAUGCUUUGCAUGAAUCCGUUUCAGCCCGUCUGACACUAUACUAACGCACACUGUCAGAGCGGUCUCUCAGGCUUAGGGGCCACUUAAGAUAAUCCCGUAGUGGAAAGAAAGAGGAACGAGCACGCUUUUAGGGAGAUAGUUUAGAGUUGAACUCAGUGCUCCCUACUCUCCCAAAUACAGUUGCUCUGUUUGAAAAUCAGCAUGUGGUCUUAUUUGUCGAGCUUGCUGUGUAGACCACUGAUUUGUCGACUUCCACUCCCUGGAAGUUGUUGCACUUUUUUGUAUCAACUCUGUGUGCUGUAGUAUUAACUUUGUAUUAAAUAUAGGGAAAUGGAACGGAGUAGCUAUUGGAAAACUGGUGGCCGGUAAAUCAUAACUCUCUCUAAGCAGUUGGUUUUUGUUGCCCUUUUGGGAAUGGAGUAGGUUUUAAUAACUUGUAAUUAACGCGUGUCGCGGAAUUUAAGACGCGAUAAUUAAAAAAAAAAAUGAGAUCUUAACAGGAAGCUGCAAUUUUGUUAAAUUUUUGGCGCUUCAAUUUGCUCUACAACUUUCCGCCUUUAACUUUUUGUUCACUAGUACGUCUGCUUUUGAAAGUAACUCAGUAAAGUUCUAUGCACAAAAAAAGGCUUAGUGGUUGAAUAAGUUUUACGUGUGUAAUUCAAAGAUUUCUUAAGAAAUUUAGUAUUUGCCUUUUUCUCAACUUAAAUAUUAAGAUAAAUAGCUACAAAAUAGGUACAAGGUUCAUUGUGAACGAAUGGGUCAUAGUCUUAGUGAUUUUGAAAUGAAAGAAGCAUGUUUACGCAUAAUUCACUUCAUUAUCAUAAGCACCCGUCGCAGGGCAAAAUUGAAAUGUUAAUGAGCAGUGAUAAUAUGUAAACGUGAUUGUAAUUUCGUUUGCUUUCCUUGUCCUAGUGUUUGUUUUAUACAGCAUUAUUG
This 1023-nucleotide long non-coding RNA is filed under the name Bos taurus (domestic cattle). RNAcentral describes it as "long non-coding RNA NONBTAT009036". The record is from RNAcentral. Lineage: Eukaryota; Metazoa; Chordata; Mammalia; Artiodactyla; Bovidae.